This is a long non-coding RNA of Carassius carassius (crucian carp), 435 nucleotides long. RefSeq lists it as uncharacterized. The record is from RefSeq and is a predicted model, not a curated record. The transcript has 3 exons. Lineage: Eukaryota; Metazoa; Chordata; Actinopteri; Cypriniformes; Cyprinidae.
ACAUGUGUGUUUAUCUGCUGCAGAGACACUGAUGAAGGAAUACUGCCAUCAAAGGAUUUGUAUCUUUUGUGGUGGAGCAGGACCUGCAAGGAAAGGUGAAAAAGAGGGAAAACCUGAAACAAAAGAAUAAUGUAGUCGUGCUCAUGGGGUGCAGGCACACGAAAGUUUGGAGCAGACACAGCAGUCAGAUUGUCCUGCACGUGUUCUUCAGCUCUAGCUUCAAGGUUGUGUGGAUCAUAGAGCCGUCAUCAAGGUCUUCUUCAUCCUGUUGCUCAACGACAUCCCCGUUGAGAAGAGUGAGAUUGUGAAGUGCAGCAGCAGAACUGUAUCAGCUGUGUUCAGAUGGCAGGAGGAUGUUGGGUUCACCAUCUGUAAAUACAUGUUUGUUAGAACAAUAAGUUUGAAUGAAGCUUUGUAUCAUGUGUUGUUGACUUC